GCCGGUGUGGUGAAAUUGGUAUACACGACGGAUUCAAAAUCCGUUGCCCUCGGGCGUGGCGGUUCAAGUCCGCCCACCGGUA
This 82-nucleotide transfer RNA is filed under the name Catenovulum maritimum. It matches the Rfam family "tRNA". Rfam says of the family: Transfer RNA (tRNA) molecules are approximately 80 nucleotides in length. Their secondary structure includes four short double-helical elements and three loops (D, anti-codon, and T loops). Further hydrogen bonds mediate the characteristic L-shaped molecular structure. tRNAs have two regions of fundamental functional importance: the anti-codon, which is responsible for specific mRNA codon recognition, and the 3' end, to which the tRNAs corresponding amino acid is attached (by aminoacyl-tRNA synthetases). tRNAs cope with the degeneracy of the genetic code in two manners: having more than one tRNA (with a specific anti-codon) for a particular amino acid; and 'wobble' base-pairing, i.e. permitting non-standard base-pairing at the 3rd anti-codon position. The record is from Rfam by way of RNAcentral. RNAcentral also lists the same sequence under 1 other name. Lineage: Bacteria; Pseudomonadati; Pseudomonadota; Gammaproteobacteria; Alteromonadales; Alteromonadaceae.